AUUAUAUAACUUAAUAUAUAAAAUAAAAGUAACUAAACGUAGCAGUGAACAAAUUUCUAUAUUUGUUGUAAUACCUACUUAUUAUUUCUAUAGAGCGAUUAUCGCAUUUUGGUCGUUAAGAUAAAAACUUGUCCCUCAAUAACAUAUAAUAUUAUCGUCUAUUUAUUUUAUGAUCGUCAAAAAUCAUCCGCACGUUUUUGUGGCACGUACUGUAGUCGUUCUUUAUACUUUGUCGCGUCUAUUUCGUCCGUUAAAAUGCCAAAAGUCAAACCGAUUAAAUCAGCCAUUUUAAAAAAUUACGUAUCAGAAUUUGGUGACGCUAUAUUUUCUUCUGAUGGCAGUAUUCUCUUUUGUAAAAUGUGUGAAGUGCAAGUAUGUGCCGAUAGACGAUAUAUUGUGACACAACAUCUAAAAACAGAUAAACAUUCUAGGGCAGUAAAUAAGAAAAACAAUACAAAGUCACAAGUUCAACAAUUAGUAACAAAUACAAAAAAGUCAAAUUUUUCGUUUGAUCUGUGUAAAGCAUUGAUGUCAAGUAAUAUUCCGUUACAUAAAAUUAGUAACAUACAUUUCCGGUCAUUUUUGGAAAAAUACACUGGAAAAGAAAUUCCAACAGUUACCUACUACUUUACGCAAAACAUAAAUAUUUUUCAAUGCAAUUUUUAAAUUUAUAAGUGCAAUUUUUAAUAUAUUUUAAUGCAAUAAUGCAAUCAAUUUAGUGUGUUUUUUAAUGCAAUAACUUCGCUGCCCUAAUAAUAUACUAUAUGGCGAUUCUCAGCGUGGCGUGGAUGGUGGAUUCAGCGGUGAGCAUAUUCGGCGAGUGACAAACUGGCAAGUGACACAGCGACGCAGAUUACGGAGUCGUCGAGUCAACGACUAGGAAAUUAAAUAAAUAAAUUAUUUAAAUAUGUUCGCGUUUGCGUGCGAUAUGGCUUCGACGGCGUCGCGUCGCGGUAUACAGUAAUAUUGAUAUUAUUAAAAUAAUAAUAAUAUUUCGGUACAAAUAGGUACAAAAUAAACAAUAUAAUUAACAGAAAACGCGUAUACACUACACUUUCCGUGAAUGCGUGUGUACUAAUAAAUAUAUUAUAAUAAUGUGCAGGAAUUUUCGGCGUUCAUCACUAUGGCCUACCGCCUACGCCUUACAGUAACAAUACGGAAUAUUUAUUAUCAAACGAUUUUCAUUCGGCAACGAUUAAAGAUAAUAUUAUAUACGAAUGAUUCGAUUAUAGUGCGUCGAGAACCAUGAUGUGAUCACGACAACCCGGCUAUUUGGUGGGGGGUGCUCGGCAGUGCGGCACAACGAGAAUCGGUCGGUGGCAUAGACAUAUAAUAUAUAUUAUGUCUAUGGUUGGUCGGUGGACUGAUUAUUCUCUCGUGGGAUAGAGUAUAGUAUCUAUAGCCGUGGUUAUGCCGUUAUGACUUAUGCUGUACGCCUGUACCCACUAAGAUAUAUCUUAGAUAUUUAUACUAUAUUAGUGAGUGGCUGUACCUAAGAUAUAUCAUAAUUCUGGUUUUUAUGAUUUGCUAAUUUGAUAACAGUCGAUUCACUAUAUUAUUAUUAUGCUAAAUGUGAUUUGCUGAUCGUAAAUUUGCGAUACUAGACAAUAAAAUGCCCGUGUUACGCUUUAGGUAAGUUCUAUUAAAUCAAAGUCAUAGCGGCAGCGUUCCUGAAGUCGGUAAAAUUAAAAUGACCGCCACAUCGGCCAGGACCAACGCCAAUAGAUAACGUUCUAACUUAUCACUAAGAUAGUAAUAAUUGUUAUCAGAUAAAUAAUAUUAUUAUUUUUUCUCGUAUGCAGAUUGCAGACUUUAAAUUUGAAUCACUCGGGAAUCGCGAUUAUUUGAAAUUUGAACAAAAAUACAGACUACAAAAGAGUCGUACAGAGUUCUUACAGUAAUUCAUACAUUUUAGUACAAAACGACAAUGGACAAGUGUAUUUCUUUCAGUAAAACAUCCAAUGUAUCGCCUCGCCACAUUACGUUAAUCUUCAUUUAUUUCCAAAAAAUCAAUGAAAUAGAAGGUAAUAAUGGCUAAAAAUCUUCGGACUAAAUGAUUAUCCCAAUAUCUACCUGGCAUAGAAUCUGCGGUAAUCAUUUCACAAUAAUUAGUGGUUGCAAACAACGCUCAGUAAAUUAGUAAACAUGGUCAGAGGCUGUCUCAAAACAUAAU
Acyrthosiphon pisum (pea aphid) is the source of this 2173-nucleotide long non-coding RNA. RefSeq lists it as uncharacterized. NCBI's taxonomy places the organism in Eukaryota, Metazoa, Arthropoda, Insecta, Hemiptera, Aphididae. The transcript is spliced from 2 exons. The record is from RefSeq and is a predicted model, not a curated record.